GUAUAUCUUCGAAAAGCCUGACUACAAGGCAGCCCACAUUAAACUGCAUCUGCAACGUGGUGACGUCUUCACAUUGCGAAACCACGCAGUUACGCGAUGAAGUGCCGUGCGCAAAACCGUGUGCACCAAUAGCUUCAAUAUAAAUCCUCAGAUGGCGCCACGAACAUAUCUACUUCGCGCUGACGUUACCCAAGAUGCUGUGGCCGAAGCGGGAAGACACAAAGGAAUCGAAAUCGUCAGAUAAGCAGACAAACCAGAAGAGGACGACAUCUACAUGUUGCAAACCAUCAUCAAAAAGCGAAUGCUGCCAAUCGUGCAAACCUCCAUGCAAGUGUAGAAGGAUUGUAAUACGACCACUCAUGUUUUCAUAUUACACAGAUUUGAUGCAUUAAACCAAAAAUUAUGUUUCAUUGUCUACUGUAUAAUUUUCUACGGAUAAUAUGAAACUUAAAGAAUAUAAAGAAUUAAUAAUU
Long non-coding RNA from Schistocerca americana (American grasshopper), 473 nucleotides. RefSeq lists it as uncharacterized. The record is from RefSeq and is a predicted model, not a curated record. NCBI's taxonomy places the organism in Eukaryota, Metazoa, Arthropoda, Insecta, Orthoptera, Acrididae. The transcript is spliced from 2 exons.